AUAUCAUUACCACAUUAUGCUUUAAUUGGUAGAACAGCCGACCAGUCGACCAGACACUUAGCAUACUAGGCUUUUAUUAUAUAGGAUGUAUUUUUGGAAUAGGGAGAUGGAAUAGGAGCUUGCUCUGUCCACUCUGCCCAUCAACCUGGUAUUGCAGUACCUCCAGGAAUGGUACACAAAAA
Eptesicus fuscus (big brown bat) is the source of this 182-nucleotide small nuclear RNA. RefSeq annotates it as U2 spliceosomal RNA. The transcript has a single exon. The record is from RefSeq and is a predicted model, not a curated record. Lineage: Eukaryota; Metazoa; Chordata; Mammalia; Chiroptera; Vespertilionidae.